RNAcentral lists this transfer-messenger RNA (358 nucleotides) under Acidimicrobiia bacterium. It matches the Rfam family "transfer-messenger RNA". Rfam says of the family: Bacterial tmRNA, also known as 10Sa RNA or SsrA, is named for its dual tRNA and mRNA-like properties. The record is from RNAcentral. Lineage: Bacteria; Bacillati; Actinomycetota; Acidimicrobiia.
GGGGGUGAACUGGCUUCGACGCUGAGGGUUGAAGCGACGGAAGCGAGCCGAGGUACACCGGAGUCCUCGUUAAACAGCCGGUACAACGUAUACAUGCCGACGAUAUGGCAUUGGCUGCCUGAUUAGGUAGCUCAUCUGCCCGGGUAGUACCCGCCUCCCGGAUCCAGGUGUCACUCAGUGGGUUGCCGUCCCCGGGAUGUCGGGACUGGGGGCGAAAGAUGAAUUCCGACUAGGACGGGUCGAGAGAAUGUGCCAACGGCUACUCGCCCGCUCCGAAAUUGCUCGCUGUUGGCUGCGCUCGGAGAUGCCGGCGCGGAUGUCUCAGCGGACCGGGGUUCGACUCCCCGCACCUCCACGA